RNAcentral lists this ribosomal RNA (462 nucleotides) under uncultured bacterium. RNAcentral's name for it is "bacterial SSU rRNA". It matches the Rfam family "Bacterial small subunit ribosomal RNA", at positions 28 to 507 of the family's 1533-position model. The record is from RNAcentral.
GAUGAACGUUGGCGGCGUGCCUAAUACAUGCAAGUCGAACGAAGACUGUAGUAAUACUGUCUUAGUGGCGAACGGGUGAGUAACGCGUGGGUGACCUGCCCCGAAGUGUGGGAUAACAGUUCGAAAGAACUGCUAAUACCGCAUAACAUCCAAGAGAUUAGAAGCUUUUGGAUUAAAGGAGUAAUUCGCUUCGGGAGGGGCCCGCGUCCCAUCAGCUAGUUGGUAAGGUAAUGGCUUACCAAGGGCGAUGACGGGUAGGGGACCUGAGAGGGUGGCCCCCCCACAAUGGAACUGAAACACGGUCCAUACACCUACGGGUGGCAGCAGUAGGGAAUAUUAGUAAUGGGCGAAAGCCUGAACUAGCAACGCCGCGUGUGCGAAGAAGGCCUUCGGGUUGUAAAGCACUUUUUGAGAGGAUGAGGAAGGACGGUACUCUCAGAAUAAGUCUCGGCUAACUACGUG